Non-coding RNA from Beauveria bassiana D1-5, 124 nucleotides. Lineage: Eukaryota; Fungi; Ascomycota; Sordariomycetes; Hypocreales; Cordycipitaceae. The record is from Rfam.
GCGAGUCUGGCCGAGUGGUUAAGGCGUUGUGUUUAGGACAAACUGUUUCUCCUUGGAGAGACGAUAAGAAUAUCCAAAACCGCAAUGGGCAUCGCCCGCGUAGGUUCGAUCCCUACGGCUCGCA